RNAcentral lists this ribosomal RNA (746 nucleotides) under Escherichia coli. RNAcentral's name for it is "partial 23S ribosomal RNA". It matches the Rfam family "Bacterial large subunit ribosomal RNA", at positions 2176 to 2916 of the family's 2925-position model. Lineage: Bacteria; Pseudomonadati; Pseudomonadota; Gammaproteobacteria; Enterobacterales; Enterobacteriaceae. The record is from RNAcentral.
CUGCAUGGAGCCGACCUUGAAAUACCACCCUUUAAUGUUUGAUGUUCUAACGUUGACCCGUAAUCCGGGUUGCGGACAGUGUCUGGUGGGUAGUUUGACUGGGGCGGUCUCCUCCUAAAGAGUAACGGAGGAGCACGAAGGUUGGCUAAUCCUGGUCGGACAUCAGGAGGUUAGUGCAAUGGCAUAAGCCAGCUUGACUGCGAGCGUGACGGCGCGAGCAGGUGCGAAAGCAGGUCAUAGUGAUCCGGUGGUUCUGAAUGGAAGGGCCAUCGCUCAACGGAUAAAAGGUACUCCGGGGAUAACAGGCUGAUACCGCCCAAGAGUUCAUAUCGACGGCGGUGUUUGGCACCUCGAUGUCGGCUCAUCACAUCCUGGGGCUGAAGUAGGUCCCAAGGGUAUGGCUGUUCGCCAUUUAAAGUGGUACGCGAGCUGGGUUUAGAACGUCGUGAGACAGUUCGGUCCCUAUCUGCCGUGGGCGCUGGAGAACUGAGGGGGGCUGCUCCUAGUACGAGAGGACCGGAGUGGACGCAUCACUGGUGUUCGGGUUGUCAUGCCAAUGGCACUGCCCGGUAGCUAAAUGCGGAAGAGAUAAGUGCUGAAAGCAUCUAAGCACGAAACUUGCCCCGAGAUGAGUUCUCCCUGACUCCUUGAGAGUCCUGAAGGAACGUUGAAGACGACGACGUUGAUAGGCCGGGUGUGUAAGCGCAGCGAUGCGUUGAGCUAACCGGUACUAAUGAACCGUGAGG